RNAcentral lists this small nuclear RNA (134 nucleotides) under Capsicum annuum. RNAcentral describes it as "U4 spliceosomal RNA". It matches the Rfam family "U4 spliceosomal RNA". From Rfam's summary of the family: U4 small nuclear RNA (U4 snRNA) is a component of the major U2-dependent spliceosome. Lineage: Eukaryota; Viridiplantae; Streptophyta; Magnoliopsida; Solanales; Solanaceae. The record is from Rfam by way of RNAcentral.
AUCUUUGCGCUUGGGGUAAUGACGCAGCUAGUGAGGUUCUAAUCAAUGCUCAUAUUUUGCUGGUUGAUAUCUAUUUCCAAACCCCCUCGUUGUCCUUCUACUUUUAUCUAGAAGUCUUUAAACCACCUAUUUUG